AUGGAUACUCUGUUUAAGGCUGCUUUCUUGAGUGUUCUUGGUGAGAACAUAAUUGAUGCUUAUGCGUCAAUUGAUAAUGGAAAAGAUAUGUGGGAUGCACUUGAGGCCAAGUUUGGGGUCUCGGAUGCUGGCACUGAGCUGUACAUCAUGGAGCAAUUCUAUGGUUACAGGAUGACUGAAGAGCGCUCCGUGGUUGAGCAAGCUCAUGAGAUACAGUCAUUUGCUAGAGAACUUGAGCACUUCAGUUGUAUGCUACCGGACAAGUUUGUUGCCGGAGGUAUCAUCAAUAAGCUUCCUCCUUCAUGGAGGAACUUUGCUACCUUACUGAAGCAUAAGAGGCAGGGGUUUUCCGUUCCGGAUCUCAUUGGCACUCUUGAUGUGGAAGAAAAGGCGAGAGCAAAGGACACACGUGCUCGAGGUAUUGAGGGAGGAUCUAGUGCCAAUCUGGUACAGAAGAAGAACUUCCAGCCCCACAAGUUCAAGAACAAGGGCAAGUUUGAUGGUAAAGCAAAGUUUGAUGGGAAGAACAAGGCUAUGCAACACACGAACUUCAAGAAGAAGAAUGACAAGAAGAAAGGUGCUUGUCAUGUGUGUGGGGAUCCUGAUCAUUGGGCUCCUAGUUGCCCUAAUCGCUAUGACAAGCGUCAUCCUGGGAAAGGCGGCAAGACCGCUAAUGUUGUCAUUGGAGACACUGACAUAAAGGAUGCUGGGUAUGGUAUAUUUCCCACUAUUCUUUCAGUAUGUCAUUCUCCUGAUUGGUUGAUUGACACGGGUGCUAAUGUGCAUGUAUGCGGUGAUAUUUCCAUGUUUUCGUCUUAUCAGACCGCAGGGACUUCAACCGUGUUGAUGGGCAACGGUUCAAGUGCUUCUGUUCGUGGUGUUGGCACGGUCGAUCUGAAGUUUACUUCGGGGAAGAUCGUGCGGCUGAAGAACGUGCAUUAUGUCCCCUCCGUCAAUAAAAAUUUUGUUAGCGGAUCUUUUCUGUGUAGAGAUGGCUACAAGCUUGUCUUUGAGUCGAAUAAAUUUGUAAUAUCCAAGUAUGGAACCUUCGUUGGUAAAGGCUAUGAGUCAGGAGGCCUGUUUCGUUUAGCCUUAUCAGACGUUUGCAAUAAAGUUGUUAAAUAUUUGCAACAAUAG
Molecule: ribosomal RNA, 1137 nt
Filed under: Triticum aestivum (bread wheat)
Lineage: Eukaryota; Viridiplantae; Streptophyta; Magnoliopsida; Poales; Poaceae
Description: partial small subunit ribosomal RNA
Source: RNAcentral